This 2929-nucleotide long non-coding RNA is filed under the name Homo sapiens (human). RNAcentral describes it as "HSALNT0130810". Lineage: Eukaryota; Metazoa; Chordata; Mammalia; Primates; Hominidae. The record is from RNAcentral.
CUCCAGAGAAACGGGUCCCCACGGUUAUUCUGCUCCACCCUGCAGAUGCCUGCGCGCCAGCUGGCCCUGCCCCUGCCCUGCUGAACACCGCCCGGGCCCAGUCCCCACUCCGCGGUUUGGUGAAGUUGGUUUCCGUGCCUGCUUGGGAAGCCCCUGCCUGGGGAUAAUCGUCAGGUCCUCGAGUCGCUUCCCCCCUACCUUCCGCUGCGUCGGCAACCUUAUCCUCCCGUCCUCAUUAACGGAUCGGCACUCAAAUCAAAGCCCAGCCCUCUGGGGUUCAUGAUCACGCACCCCCGGGACCCCUAGCGGGGGCGAGCCUCCGACCUCAGUCUGUCUCCUCCCCCAGGUGGCUGCCUCUCCCUGGGGUUUCUCCUAAGAUUUCAGUCCAAUCGUUUUCCAACUGCAACCUGCAUUUGCAUCCGUCACUUGGAGGUCUUAGCCACAGAUCGCGGGGCCGCAUCCCAGAAUCUGAUUUAGCAGGCGGGGCCUGAGAAUCGGCAUUUCUAACCAGUUUUAAGUGAUGCUGCUGCUAGUCAGGAGGCCACACUGAGGAUGUGGACUAGAAGAACUCACUUGGCCUAGGCUGGGCUCUCCGAAGCCGACCCUGAUGCUAGGACUUGAUGCAGACAGUUCACCUGGCAGGCGUCCCAGGAAACGCUCACAGGGAAAUGGGAGAUGGAAAGGGAGGGAGGAAGUCCUGUGGGGUCUGUCAAUGAGCAGGUAACUACGGUGGGCAGCUAUGGUGCAAGCCUGCCAGGGACCUUGGGGAAAAGGGGUAGGACCACCUGAGGGUAAGGGUGCUGGGCUACCUAUCUAUCUGAGGGUGCUCUGUGGGUACUUGUUCCCCAGCCUUUUUUUUUUUUUUUCUUACAGGGAGACAGGGUCUCACUCUGUUGCCGAGGCUGGAGUGCAGUGGUACCAUCUUAGCUCACUGUUAACCUUGAACUCCUGGGCUCAAACGAUCCUCCCGCUUCAGCCUCCUGAGCAGCUGGGACCACAGGCAUGCACCACUACACCCAGCUAAUUUUAAAAAAAACGGGGCGGCGGGGUGGGGGGGGGGAGCUGGGCACAGUGGCUCACGCCUGUAAUCUCAGCACUUUGGGAAGCUGAAGCUGGCAGAGCAGAUCAUGAGAUCAGGGGUUUGAGACCAGCCUGGCCAACAUGGUGAAACCCUGUCUCUACUAAAAAUACAAAAAUUAGCUGGGUGUGGUGGCACACACCUGUAGUCCCAGUUACUUAGGAGGCUGAGGCAGGAGAAUCACUUGAAUCUGGGAAGUGGAGGUGGCAGUGAGCCUAGACUGCGCCAUUUCACUCCAGCCUGGGCCACAGAGCAAGACUCCGUCUCAAAAAAAAAAAAAAAAAAAUGUUUGUAGAGACAGGGUCUUGCUAUGUUGCUCAGGCUGGUCUUGAACUACUGAGCUCAAGAGAUCCUCCCGCCUUGGCUUCCCAAAGUGCUGGGAUUACAGGCAUGAGCCACGGUGCCCAGCCUGUUCCAGCCUUUUUGUUAAAACUACAGAGUGAAUGGCCCCAGAGGGGAAGUUUCAUUUCUGGGUCUCUUUUCAGCCCCUUUCUGCCUUCCCCCCACAAACUCAGACAAAUGGACAUGGCCUGGAAAACCCAGUGUGGCUGCUGAGCUCCCCGCGGGUGGGAAGAGGAUCAAAAACAAAGUCUGAUCAUCCCAUAGCCUUGCUGGCCAAGACCAAGAACCGAGCUGGGCAACAGUGAGCUGCAGGCUUCGCUUUCCCUGCGGGCUCCAUGCCCCGGCUGCACGGGGAGGUGUUCUAGGCGGCCGCCGGCCAGAGCCUUUGAGAGUGGAACCUUCCUCGUGUUCAAUUAGAGGACCCAGACUUGGGAACAGAGCCGUAACCACACUUCCAGCCUUGGACACAGGAACAAACGAAAAAUAAUUUUUCUGUGUCAGACACCUGAAUCCUGAGGGCAUGUCAGGAUCUAUUUUCAGAUAUCUACAUUCUGUCUUCAUCCAACACCUUUGCUGUGAGGUCAACUUGAAUAUUCCACUGUGACUCUUCCCCAACCCAGUCUCCUCCCUCCCAGAGGCAGAGCCAAAUGGCCCGAGAGUGUGACAAGUUGAGACCUGUAGGACAGACAGCAGGUUGCCUGCCCAACAAGCGAUUCUGCCCUUCUUUCUUUCCAAAAUAACCCUGAUUCCAUCUGGGCAGCAAAUUCCUCAGAUAAAAGACUUUAUGAUUCUCUAUCUCUUGCAGACAGAAUGGUCACAGAGAGGUAUGUAGAAGCCCUUGGAUGAAGCUUCCAGGAAAGAUCUUAAAGGACCAACUCAGCUAGAAGACGCGUCCUUUCGCCCUUCAUCCUCUCUCUCUGCCUGCCUAAAACAUGACACGAUGGCUGGCACUGUAGCAGCUAUCUUGAAUCAUGAGGCUUCUUUAAAGAUAGAAGGUCUGUGCUAAGGAUGACGAAGAAGAGUGACAGAAGAAAGCUGGGUGCCUGAUGACUUUGUGGAGCCACCCAUUCCAGCCGAGACCACCAGCCUCUGAAAUUCUUCUACCUGAGAGAAAAUAAACCACCACCUCAUUGGAACCACAGCUACCUGGAUUUUCUCUUCUCUGCAGACAAAUCCUAAGGCCAAGUGAGGCCAAAGCCAUGUGGCCCUCGAGGCUGGCAGGAUUAAGGGGCAGUCACUGUCUCACUUGGAGAAUUAGGAUACACCCUUUGGGACAUGCUUUUGACCCUAGACCCUCCCAGCAGUCCAGUCUCCCAGGCUGUCCUGGAGAAAGGUUGGGAGGAGCCACCAAACCCUUAUUUGCACCUUCUUUGCAAAACAGCUGGAAGCACGGGUGUGUGGAGAAGGAACGAGCACUGCCAUUGGACGCUGAUGAUUGGCAGCCAAGGCUCAAUGAGGGAAAAUCCCAUAGGAAGUAAAGAAGCAGAGAGGAGAAGCCAGGCUGGGGUG